RNAcentral lists this small nuclear RNA (107 nucleotides) under Procavia capensis (Cape rock hyrax). The record is from RNAcentral. Lineage: Eukaryota; Metazoa; Chordata; Mammalia; Hyracoidea; Procaviidae.
GUGCCCAUUUUGGCAGCACAUAUACUAAAAUUAGAAAGACACAGAGAAGACUACCAUGAUCCCUACUCAAAGAUGACAUGUAAAUUUGUAAAGCAUUCCAUAUUCUU